AGUCUGGUGCCAGCAGCCGCGGUAAUUCCAGCUCCAAUAGCGUAUAUUAAAGUUGUUGCAGUUAAAAAGCUCGUAGUUGGAUCUCAGGAUUUGGAUGGAUGGUUCGCUUUCGGGCGCUACUAUCUGUCUGACCUACUCUAGUCGUGGAUGCCUUGGGUGCUCUUAAUUGAGUGCUUUUGGUGCCCGACGCAAUUACUUUGAAAAAAUUAGAGUGCUCAAAGCAGGCGUAUUGCCUGAAUAGUGUUGCAUGGAAUAAUGAAAUAGGAGUUUACUUCUAUUUUGUUGGUUUUCGGAGGUGAACUAAUGAUUAACAGGGACAGACGGGGGCAUUUGUAUGGAGGGGUUAGAGGUGAAAUUCUUGGAUCCUCUCCAGACAAACUACUGCGAAAGCAUUUGCCAGGAAUGUUUUCACUAAUCAAGAACGAAAGUCAGAGGUUCGAAGACGAUCAGAUACCGUCCUAGUUCUGACCAUAAAUGAUGCCAUCUAACAAUCCACGAAGUUUGCUUGUACGAACUCGUGGGCGGUCCCCGGGAAACCAAAGAUUUUGGGUUCCGGGGGAAGUGUGGUUGCAAAGCUGAAACUUAAAGGAAUUGACGGAAGGGCACCACCAGGAGUGGAGCCUGCGGCUUAAUUUGACCCAACACGGGAAACCUCACCCGGCCCGGACACUUUUAGGAUUGACAGAUUGAAGGCUCUUUCUUGAUCAAGUGGUUGGUGGUGCAUGGCCGUUCUUAGUUGGUGGAGCGAUUUGUCUGGUUAAUUCCGGUAACGAACGAGACUCUACUCUGCUAAAUAGAACGUUGAUAUAUAAAAGUCAGUGCUGACUUCUUAGAGAGACUAACGGCGUUUAGCCGUGUGAGAAAGAGCAAUAACAGGUCUGUGAUGCCCUUAGAUGUCCGGGGCCGCACGCGCGCUACACUGACUGCAGCAACUAGUAUGCUCCUGGUUUGAAAAAACUGGGUAACCUGGUUGAAUUGCAGGCGUGACAGGGAUCAGAGUUUGCAAUUAUCCUCUGUGAACGAGGAAUUCCCAGUAAGCGCAAGUCAUUAGCUUGUGCUGAUUACGUCCCUGCCCUUUGUACACACCGCCCGUCGCUACUACCGAUUGAAUGGUUUAGUGAGGUCUUCGGAUUGGUGCUGAUGGAGUGGUUCUCUGCUCUGUUAGUGCCGAGAAGAUGAUCAAACUUGAUCAUUUAGAGGAAGUAAAAGUCGUAACAAGGU
Molecule: ribosomal RNA, 1221 nt
Filed under: metagenome
Description: SSU rRNA
Rfam family: Eukaryotic small subunit ribosomal RNA
Source: RNAcentral